RNAcentral lists this long non-coding RNA (873 nucleotides) under Oryctolagus cuniculus (rabbit). RNAcentral describes it as "lncRNA (ENSOCUG00000032506.1)". The record is from RNAcentral. Lineage: Eukaryota; Metazoa; Chordata; Mammalia; Lagomorpha; Leporidae.
GAUUUUUUUGCACCAGAAAAGGUUACUUACCUGGAGCACACCGGAGAUCCACAUAGGCCGGCUACCUCAAGGCUGGAGCCAUGACAGCUGUCAGCCACUACUUUGAGGCUGCCUGGCCACUUCCGGUGCCGCUGUGCUCACUGGGAGGAAGAGGCGGGUCCUAGAUGGCUGGCGCUUGCGCAGUCGGCUGGUGGAGAGCAAGACCCUGUAUCCGGCGGUGUUGGCGUGUUGUCCGCUGCCGGAGUUAUCCGCUGAUGGCAGCGUUGUCGGUGGCGGUGCUGGCCCGGAGAGUGCGGGAAUGAAGACAUCUUCAUGGAUAUGAAACUGGACACACGAGUUGACGCUGAAGUUCAUCUGCUGGGUUCGGAGGCAGCACGGGUGGGCAGCGGCUCAGCCAUGAGGAAGCCAAGAAGCGGAUGUCUGCCUCCCCUCCUCCCCCGCAGAGGGCACGGAUGUGAAACUAACGCAGGGUGGGCGCUGAAGCUCAGCUGCUGGAUAAUCUUCCAGUUCCGGAGACUGCACGGCUUCUGCUCAACCCCAGCUGGGCCUUCAUCCUGGAGAGGAGCAGUGCCAUCGGACACAUUGCUGGGGAAAGCAGACAUGAGCCUCCUUCAGCACCGGACACAGCCUAGGAUCCUGCUGGGCUCAGGACCUCCCCUCCCAUCUCGAGUCCCACGAGAAAAGAGUUAUUUGCCAAAGAGUGAAUAUCAAGGCCUUGACAAUUAUUCUAGCGAGGGCACAAUGUUCGACUCCCAAAACAAUGUAACCCAGUGGUUUUCAGCAAGAAAACGGCUGAAUUCCCAAAGGAAUUCCUUACUGUUAGUAAGACCUCUGAAAAUUCACUAGUGAGAAUAAAUGCCACGAAAUCUAACA